Molecule: ribosomal RNA, 750 nt
Filed under: Bacillus amyloliquefaciens
Lineage: Bacteria; Bacillati; Bacillota; Bacilli; Caryophanales; Bacillaceae
Description: bacterial SSU rRNA
Rfam family: Bacterial small subunit ribosomal RNA
Source: RNAcentral
ACCUGCCUGUAAGACUGGGAUAACUCCGGGAAACCGGGGCUAAUACCGGAUGGUUGUCUGAACCGCAUGGUUCAGACAUAAAAGGUGGCUUCGGCUACCACUUACAGAUGGACCCGCGGCGCAUUAGCUAGUUGGUGAGGUAACGGCUCACCAAGGCGACGAUGCGUAGCCGACCUGAGAGGGUGAUCGGCCACACUGGGACUGAGACACGGCCCAGACUCCUACGGGAGGCAGCAGUAGGGAAUCUUCCGCAAUGGACGAAAGUCUGACGGAGCAACGCCGCGUGAGUGAUGAAGGUUUUCGGAUCGUAAAGCUCUGUUGUUAGGGAAGAACAAGUGCCGUUCAAAUAGGGCGGCACCUUGACGGUACCUAACCAGAAAGCCACGGCUAACUACGUGCCAGCAGCCGCGGUAAUACGUAGGUGGCAAGCGUUGUCCGGAAUUAUUGGGCGUAAAGGGCUCGCAGGCGGUUUCUUAAGUCUGAUGUGAAAGCCCCCGGCUCAACCGGGGAGGGUCAUUGGAAACUGGGGAACUUGAGUGCAGAAGAGGAGAGUGGAAUUCCACGUGUAGCGGUGAAAUGCGUAGAGAUGUGGAGGAACACCAGUGGCGAAGGCGACUCUCUGGUCUGUAACUGACGCUGAGGAGCGAAAGCGUGGGGGAGCGAACAGGAUUAGAUACCCUGGUAGUCCACGCCGUAAACGAUGAGUGCUAAGUGUUAGGGGGUUUCCGCCCCUUUAGUGCUGCAGCUAAC